This 502-nucleotide ribosomal RNA is filed under the name Richalpheus laeuadigitus. Its description in RNAcentral is "partial 16S ribosomal RNA". It matches the Rfam family "Bacterial large subunit ribosomal RNA", at positions 1836 to 2596 of the family's 2925-position model. The record is from RNAcentral. Lineage: Eukaryota; Metazoa; Arthropoda; Malacostraca; Decapoda; Alpheidae.
UUUGUUGGAAUGAAAAGUCUGACCUGCCCACUGAAGGUAUUUGAAGGGCUGCGGUAUUAUGACCGUGCAAAGGUAGCAUAGUCAAUAGUCUCUUAAUUGGGGGCUUGAAUGAACGGUUGGACGGAAAGGAGGCUGUCUUAUUUUAUUGUGGUGAAUUUGACUUUUGUGUGAAAAGGCAUAAAUGACUCGGGGGGACGAUAAGACCCUAUAAAACUUGAUAAUUUAAGAGUGGGUUCUUGAGUUGAGUAUAAUAUGAAUUUGGGCUGAGUUAUUUCAUUGGGGAGGUGAGAAUAUAAUCUGGUAACUGUUCUGAUAAUGUAAAUGGUGAUAGUUAGAUGGUGACCCUAGAUUCUGGGUUAAGAGUUAAAGUUACUUUAGGGAUAACAGCGUAAUUUCUCUUGAGAGUCCAUAUCGACGGAGGUAGUUGCGACCUCGAUGUUGAAUUAAAAUUUCCUGCAGGAGUAGAGAUUUGUGGGGUAGGUCUGUUCGACCUUUAAAAUUU